RNAcentral lists this long non-coding RNA (246 nucleotides) under Elaeis guineensis (African oil palm). Its description in RNAcentral is "long non-coding RNA (EGUI_LNC025437)". The record is from RNAcentral. Lineage: Eukaryota; Viridiplantae; Streptophyta; Magnoliopsida; Arecales; Arecaceae.
UUGAUUCGACCCCUCUUAUCUAUUUGAUAUGAUCCAACCUGCAUCUCAACUUAACCCGGCCAAACCCGACCAAAGGUGGGUACGAGGUGGGUAUGUGGGUAUAAAAUUUUUUAAUUAUGGGGUUGGUAAAGGUAUUGGCCAAUCUGACCCAUAUCUAAUCUAUUGCCAUCUCUAAGUCUCAUGUAUUUGAAACCUUUCAAAUUGAUUAGACCAUAAAUGAUUAAUUCACACAUGACAUAUGUGCAC